Molecule: ribosomal RNA, 492 nt
Filed under: uncultured bacterium
Lineage: Bacteria
Description: partial 16S ribosomal RNA
Rfam family: Bacterial small subunit ribosomal RNA
Source: RNAcentral
AGUGAACGCUGGCGGUAGGCCUAACACAUGCGAGUCGAACGGCAGCACAGUAAGAGCUUGCUCUUACGGGUGGCGAGUGGCGGACGGGUGAGGAAUACAUCGGAAUCUACUUUUUCGUGGGGGAUAACGUAGGGAAACUUACGCUAAUACCGCAUACGACCUACGGGUGAAAGCAGGGGAUCUUCGGACCUUGCGCGAUUGAAUGAGCCGAUGUCGGAUUAGCUAGUUGGCGGGGUAAAGGCCCACCAAGGCGACGAUCCGUAGCUGGUCUGAGAGGAUGACCAGCAACAGUGGAACUGAGACACGGUCCAGACUCCACCGGGAGGCAGCAGUGGGGAAUAUUGGACAAUGGGCGCAAGCCUGGUCCAGCCAUACCGCGUGGGUGAAGAAGGCCUUCGGGUUGUAAAGCCCUUUUGUUGGGAAAGAAAAGCAGCAGGUUAAUACCCCGCUGUUCUGACGGUACCCAAAGAAUAAGCACCGGCUAACUUCGUG